Molecule: ribosomal RNA, 253 nt
Filed under: uncultured bacterium
Lineage: Bacteria
Description: partial 16S ribosomal RNA
Rfam family: Bacterial small subunit ribosomal RNA
Source: RNAcentral
UACAGAGGUCUCAAGCGUUGUUCGGAUUCAUUGGGCGUAAAGGGCGCGUAGGCGGCGGGGUAAGUCGGGUGUGAAAUCUCAGAGCUCAACUCUGAAACUGCACUCGAUACUGCUCUGCUUGAGGACUGGAGAGGAGACUGGAAUUCCCGGUGUAGUGGUGGAAUGCGUAGAUAUCGGGAGGAACACCAGUGGCGAAGGCGGUUGCCUGGAGCUUUGCUGACGCUGAUGCGCGAAAGCGUGGGGAGCGAUCCGG